CAAUAGCGUAUAUUAAAGUUGUUGCAGUUAGAACGCUCGUAGUCGGAUUUCGGGGAGGGUCGACCGGUCUGCCGAUGGGUACGCACUGGCCGACGCGUCCUUCCUUCCGGAGACCGUCCCUACUCUUAACUGAGCGGGGGCGGGAGACGGAACGUUUACUUUGAAAAAAUCAGAGUGUUUCAAGCAGGCAUCUCGCUCUUGCACGGAUUAGCAUGGGAUAAUGAAAUAGGACUUUGGUGCUAUUUUGUUGGUUUCGAACACCGAAGUAAUGAUGAGAAGGGACAGUCAGGGGCACUCGUAUUCCGCCGAGAGAGGUGAAAUUCUCAGACCAGCGGAAGACGAACCACUGCGAAAGCAUUUGCCAGGGAUGUUUUCACUGA
RNAcentral lists this ribosomal RNA (380 nucleotides) under uncultured eukaryote. Its description in RNAcentral is "partial 18S ribosomal RNA". It matches the Rfam family "Eukaryotic small subunit ribosomal RNA", at positions 592 to 976 of the family's 1831-position model. The record is from RNAcentral.